UCCCUAAUAUCUCAGUUGGUAAAGAAUCCACCUGCAAUGUAGAAGACUCUGGUUCAAUUCCUGGGUUAGGAA
This 72-nucleotide transfer RNA is filed under the name Bos taurus (domestic cattle). It matches the Rfam family "tRNA". Rfam says of the family: Transfer RNA (tRNA) molecules are approximately 80 nucleotides in length. RNAcentral also lists the same sequence under 2 other names. Lineage: Eukaryota; Metazoa; Chordata; Mammalia; Artiodactyla; Bovidae. The record is from Rfam by way of RNAcentral.